UGCAAGUCGAACGGUAACAUGGAUUGCUUGCAAUCUGAUGACGAGUGGCGCACGGGUGCGUAACGCGUAUGCAAUCUACCUUUUACAGGAGAAUAGCCCAGAGAAAUUUGGAAUAAUGCUCCAUAAUAUCAUUUAUCAGCAUUGGUUUAUGAUUAAAGCUCCGGCGGUAAAAGAUGAGCAUGCGUUCUAUUAGCUAGUAGGUGAGGUAACGGCUCACCUAGGCUACGAUAGAUAGGGGCCCUGAGAGGGGGAUCCCCCACACUGGUACUGAGACACGGACCAGACUCCUACGGGAGGCAGCAGUGAGGAAUAUUGGACAAUGGAGGAAACUCUGAUCCAGCCAUGCCGCGUGCAGGAUGACUGCCCUAUGGGUUGUAAACUGCUUUUAUAUAGGAAGAAACACUCCCACGUGUGGGGGCUUGACGGUACUAUAUGAAUAAGGAUCGGCUAACUCCGUGCCAGCAGCCGCGGUAAUACGGAGGAUCCAAGCGUUAUCCGGAAUCAUUGGGUUUAAAGGGUCCGCAGGCGGCCUGUUAAGUCAGAGGUGAAAUCCUACAGCUCAACUGUAGAACUGCCUUUGAUACUGAUAGGCUUGAGUUAUUGUGAAGUGGUUAGAAUGUGUGGUGUAGCGGUGAAAUGCUUAGAUAUCACACAGAAUACCCAUUGCGAAGGCAGAUCACUAACAAUAUACUGACGCUCAUGGACGAAAGCGUGGGGAGCGAACAGGAUUAGAUACCCUGGUAGUCCACGCCGUAAACGAUGGAUACUAACUGUUCGACCUUCGGGUUGAGUGGUCAAGCGAAAGUGAUAAGUAUCCCCCCUGGGGAGUACGCUCGCAAGAGUGAAACUCAAAG
Molecule: ribosomal RNA, 854 nt
Filed under: uncultured marine bacterium
Lineage: Bacteria
Description: bacterial SSU rRNA
Rfam family: Bacterial small subunit ribosomal RNA
Source: RNAcentral